GAACGCUGGCGGCAUGCCUUACACAUGCAAGUCGAACGGCAGCACGGGAGCAAUCCUGGUGGCGAGUGGCGAACGGGUGAGUAAUAUAUCGGAACGUGCCCAGUCGUGGGGGAUAACGUAGCGAAAGCUACGCUAAUACCGCAUACGAUCUAUGGAUGAAAGCGGGGGAUCGCAAGACCUCGCGCGAUUGGAGCGGCCGAUAUCAGAUUAGGUAGUUGGUGGGGUAAAGGCUCACCAAGCCAACGAUCUGUAGCUGGUCUGAGAGGACGACCAGCCACACUGGAACUGAGACACGGUCCAGACUCCUACGGGAGGCAGCAGUGGGGAAUUUUGGACAAUGGACGCAAGUCUGAUCCAGCCAUUCCGCGUGCAGGAUGAAGGCCCUCGGGUUGUAAACUGCUUUUGUACGGAACGAAAAGGUUUCUCUUAAUACGAGGAGCUCAUGACGGUACCGUAAGAAUAAGCACCGGCUAACUACGUG
RNAcentral lists this ribosomal RNA (481 nucleotides) under uncultured bacterium. RNAcentral describes it as "bacterial SSU rRNA". It matches the Rfam family "Bacterial small subunit ribosomal RNA", at positions 31 to 507 of the family's 1533-position model. The record is from RNAcentral.